GAUCAUGGCUCAGGAUGAACGCUGGCGGCGUGCUUAACACAUGCAAGUCGAGCGAAGCAAUUUAAGUGAAGUUUUCGGAUGGAUCUUAGAUUGACUGAGCGGGCGGACGGGUGAGUAACGCGUGGAUAACCUGCCUCACACAGGGGGAUAACAGUUAGAAAUGACUGCUAAUACCGCAUAAGCGCACAGUACCGCAUGGUAUAGUGUGAAAAACUCCGGUGGU
RNAcentral lists this ribosomal RNA (223 nucleotides) under uncultured bacterium. Its description in RNAcentral is "partial 16S ribosomal RNA". It matches the Rfam family "Bacterial small subunit ribosomal RNA", at positions 15 to 219 of the family's 1533-position model. The record is from RNAcentral.